CUACGUGCCAGCAGCCGCGGUAAUACGUAUGUCACAAGCGUUAUCCGGAUUUAUUGGGCGUAAAGCGCGUCUAGGUGGUUAUGUAAGUCUGAUGUGAAAAUGCAGGGCUCAACUCUGUAUUGCGUUGGAAACUGCAUGACUAGGGUACUGGAGAGGUAAGCGGAACUACAAGUGUAGAGGUGAAAUUCGUAGAUAUUUGUAGGAAUGCCGAUGGGGAAGCCAGCUUACUGGACAGAUACUGACGCUAAAGCGCGAAAGCGUGGGUAGCAAACAGGAUUAGAUACCCUGGUAGUCCACGCCGUAAACGAUGAUUACUAGGUGUUGGGGGUCGAACCUCAGCGCCCAAGCUAACGCGAUAAGUAAUCCGCCUGGGGAGUACGUACGCAGGUAUGAAACUCAAAGGAAUUGACGGGGACCCGCACAAGCGGUGGAGCAUGUGGUUUAAUUCGACGCAACGCGAGGAACCUUACCAGCGUUUGACAU
Molecule: ribosomal RNA, 483 nt
Filed under: uncultured bacterium
Lineage: Bacteria
Description: bacterial SSU rRNA
Rfam family: Bacterial small subunit ribosomal RNA
Source: RNAcentral